This 450-nucleotide ribosomal RNA is filed under the name uncultured organism. RNAcentral describes it as "partial 16S ribosomal RNA". It matches the Rfam family "Bacterial small subunit ribosomal RNA", at positions 335 to 801 of the family's 1533-position model. The record is from RNAcentral.
ACUCCUACGGGAGGCAGCAGUGGGGAAUAUUGGACAAUGGGCGCAAGCCUGAUCAAGCCAUGCCGCGUGAGUGAUGAAGGCCCUAGGGUUGUAAAGCUCUUUCACCGGUGAAGAUAAUGACGGUAACCGGAGAAGAAGCCCCGGCUAACUUCGUGCCAGCAGCCGCGGUAAUACGAAGGGGGCUAGCGUUGUUCGGAUUUACUGGGCGUAAAGCGCACGUAGGCGGACUAUUAAGUCAGGGGUGCAAUCCCGGGGCUCAACCCCGGAACUGCCUUUGAUACUGGGAGUCUUGAGUUCGAGAGAGGUGAGUGGAAUUCCGAGUGUAGAGGGGAAAUUCGUAGAUAUUCGGAGGAACACCAGUGGCGAAGGCGGCUCACUGGCUCGAUACUGACGCUGAGGUGCGAAAGCGUGGGGAGCAAACAGGAUUAGAUACCCGUGUAGUCCCAUGAU